UCCUUGUUAGCUCAGUUGGUAGAGCGUUCGGCUUUUACGUCAACGAGGACAACCGAAAUGUCAGGGGUUCGAGCCCCCUAUGAGGAG
This is a transfer RNA of 87 nucleotides. It matches the Rfam family "tRNA". Rfam says of the family: Transfer RNA (tRNA) molecules are approximately 80 nucleotides in length. Their secondary structure includes four short double-helical elements and three loops (D, anti-codon, and T loops). The record is from Rfam.